GGAAGUGCUAGAUCAGUAUCAGCAAUUGUCGUUAUAUGCUGGGGCCCCGUGCCACACGUCAUCUCAUGUUAUGCCUGCAGCAACUCACGGCUGGUGACCUCGAGGAGUGGGAAAGUCACACUUGCCCAGGCUUAUGCAGCUGUUAUGUGGUAGAGCCAGAACUAAAACCCACAGCCAUACAAUUUUAAAGCCUGAGAUAUUUCCGGAAUACCAUGCUGCCCCCUUUCCCAAUGAGAGCGCUUUCUCACCACGGUGUCCAUUUGCAGGGUCAGAAGUUUCUCCACUCACCCUGGUCUCCUCAGGCCCGAGGGUAUCCAACUGUGUGCUGGUGGCCUGUGCGGAGAGGGCCCAGGGACAAGCAAACCUUUGCAGACGAUGCUGGACUGUUAUACUCAAUAUAGAGAGGGGGUGCCCAUCAGAAGAGGGAGAGAGAAAGAACACGGCGGAGGGAGAAGAGACCUCCUGUUUGCAUUUGUCCAUGUUUGCAUCUGCCUUGGUCUCCAGCCUUGACUUUAGGAGACGAUACAGCAGGAUGUAAUCAAGUCCCACUUGGGGCGGCAAGUUUCCAGGGAGCCUCAUUGAAGUAUCAUCUCAGUGACUUUUUCAACUUUCAUUUAUCAUUUUCCAAAACAACAUAAGGCCUUGGCACCCAGCUCGCCUUCUCUGGAGCAUCCCGCCCCGCCUGCCUUCUGUAGAAAAACGUGAAGUAUAGCAUCUGGCAAAAUGCUUCCUGCAGAGCAGGUAUUCAGCGCUGUAAGAUGGCUCCGGGACCAGCAGGUCGCUCCGGAACGCAUUCCUACACCCCUUCCCCUCCUUCCUCUCCCUACCCCCUCAGAAGUCCCCUCCUCAGCCAAGAGGGCCGGGACUGCAAGCUUGUUGCAUUUGCGCGUGCAUGUGUCUUCCUGCUGGGAAGCAGCGUAUGAGGUCCCACCCCUAACCCCACAGUCCCAAAUUGAAACAAGCUGACUGCAAUUGUGAGCGAGCCCAGCUCACACCAGCUGGGGCCUGCUUGCAGCUUCAGAAAAUGCUGUUUCAUGUUUAGAUGCAAAUGACUAUUUCCUCUCUAGAGCACGCCCAGCUCCAGCCUGAGCCGCAGCAGAGGGGAACCGAGGCUCGGAAUGCUAGGCCAGGGCUGUCAGGAUGAAUUAUGCUGCCCUGAAGCGCCCCCUGAAUUCAGAGAGAGAUGAGGAAACCAAACUCAAGAGAGGGGAAGUAAUUUACCCUGUGUCACACAGCUGGUCCAACAGGCUCGCCUUGCUUAUCCCAACGGCCAUUUCUCCCCAUCCGUAGCACACAAAUCUUCCAGGACCUGGUGGGGGACUGGCGGGGCCGUGCAGAGUUACAGGAUGAACACCAGCCAUCAACCUGGGGCAUCCUUUUCACUUGCUGGGGAGUAAUUUAAACAUUAUUUGAUGUCAAAAAUAUCUGCAAUAAAAUAAACCCAGAUGUUGCAUAUUACGGAGUGGAAUUUUAAGAUUGCAUAAAUUUUAAAGAUGAAAUGCAAGUCUUCAAAUCCAUUUUGCACCACAGGAGGGCUCUUCGGGCUGUGCUCCAGGCCUCCCAGCUGGCACCAUUCAGGCCCCUGUGCCAUGAGGGCUACUUGGAGAGAAAAAUGUUCUUUCGUAUUGCAGUUUCUUACUGAACAGUUCAUGUCCUUCCCCUCCUAAGAGUUGGGCCUGGCACGUGGCAGGUCCCUGACUGAUGUCCUUGGCUGAAUGAUGUGUUCUCGAUGAGCUGAUUCCCCUUGUAACAUCUUCAGUUCCCUAGGGACCUUAGCUGCCAGCCCUAAAGAAAAGCAUAACAGUAGACAUCCAGUCGCUGCGUCAAGUAGGAGGGUUUACACUGUGUGAGCGGAGAGGAGAGGAUUCCACGUCCCUCAGCAACUCGACUCCGUAUAACCCAGAGUUGAUUCUAGCUGGGACU
This 1923-nucleotide long non-coding RNA is filed under the name Equus caballus (horse). RNAcentral describes it as "lncRNA (ENSECAG00000047491.1)". Lineage: Eukaryota; Metazoa; Chordata; Mammalia; Perissodactyla; Equidae. The record is from RNAcentral.